UUUGAUCAUGGCUCAGAUUGAACGCUGGCGGCAGGCCUAACACAUGCAAGUCGAACGGUAACAGGAAGCAGCUUGCUGCUUCGCUGACGAGUAGCGGACGGGUGAGUAAUGUCUGGGAAACUGCCUGAUGGAGGGGGAUAACUACUGGAAACGGUGGCUAAUACCGCAUAACGUCGCAAGACCAAAGAGGGGGACCUUCGGGCCUCUUGCCAUCAGAUGUGCCCAGAUGGGAUUAGCUUGUUGGUGAGGUAACGGCUCACCAAGGCGACGAUCCCUAGCUGGUCUGAGAGGAUGACCAGCCACACUGGAACUGAGACACGGUCCAGACUCCUACGGGAGGCAGCAGUGGGGAAUAUUGCACAAUGGGCGCAAGCCUGAUGCAGCCAUGCCGCGUGUAUGAAGAAGGCCUUCGGGUUGUAAAGUACUUUCAGCGGGGAGGAAGGUGUUGUGGUUAAUAACCGCAGCAAUUGACGUUACCCGCAGAAGAAGCACCGGCUAACUCCGUGCCAGCAGCCGCGGUAAUACGGAGGGUGCAAGCGUUAAUCGGAAUUACUGGGCGUAAAGCGCACGCAGGCGGUCUGUCAAGUCGGAUGUGAAAUCCCCGGGCUCAACCUGGGAACUGCAUUCGAAACUGGCAGGCUUGAGUCUUGUAGAGGGGGGUAGAAUUCCAGGUGUAGCGGUGAAAUGCGUAGAGAUCUGGAGGAAUACCGGUGGCGAAGGCGGGUGGCGAAGGCGGCCCCCUGGACAAAGACUGACGCUCAGGUGCGAAAGCGUGGGGAGCAAACAGGAUUAGAUACCCUGGUAGUCCACGCCGUAAACGAUGUCUACUUGGAGGUUGUGCCCUUGAGGCGUGGCUUCCGGAGCUAACGCGUUAAGUAGACCGCCUAGGGAGUACGGCCGCAAGGUUAAAACUCAAAUGAAUUGACGGGGGCCCGCACAAGCGGUGGAGCAUGUGGUUUAAUUCGAUGCAACGCGAAGAACCUUACCUGGUCUUGACAUCCACAGAACUUUCCAGAGAUGGAUUGGUGCCUUCGGGAACUGUGAGACAGGUGCUGCAUGGCUGUCGUCAGCUCGUGUUGUGAAAUGUUGGGUUAAGUCCCGCAACGAGCGCAACCCUUAUCCUUUGUUGCCAGCGGUUAGGCCGGGAACUCAAAGGAGACUGCCAGUGAUAAACUGGAGGAAGGUGGGGAUGACGUCAAGUCAUCAUGGCCCUUACGACCAGGGCUACACACGUGCUACAAUGGCGCAUACAAAGAGAAGCGACCUCGCGAGAGCAAGCGGACCUCAUAAAGUGCGUCGUAGUCCGGAUUGGAGUCUGCAACUCGACUCCAUGAAGUCGGAAUCGCUAGUAAUCGUGGAUCAGAAUGCCACGGUGAAUACGUUCCCGGGCCUUGUACACACCGCCCGUCACACCAUGGGAGUGGGUUGCAAAAGAAGUAGGUAGCUUAACCUUCGGGAGGGCGCUUACCACUUUGUGAUUCAUGACUGGGGUGAAGUCGUAACAAGGUAACC
Molecule: ribosomal RNA, 1512 nt
Filed under: Haemophilus sp. D191-1
Lineage: Bacteria; Pseudomonadati; Pseudomonadota; Gammaproteobacteria; Pasteurellales; Pasteurellaceae
Description: 16S ribosomal RNA
Rfam family: Bacterial small subunit ribosomal RNA
Source: RNAcentral